This 74-nucleotide transfer RNA is filed under the name Bacteroidota bacterium. Its description in RNAcentral is "Bacteroidetes bacterium (activated sludge metagenome) tRNA-Arg". It matches the Rfam family "tRNA". From Rfam's summary of the family: Transfer RNA (tRNA) molecules are approximately 80 nucleotides in length. The record is from RNAcentral. Lineage: Bacteria; Pseudomonadati; Bacteroidota.
CGGUUUGUAGCUCAAUUGGAUGGAGCACCCGGUUACGACCCGGGAGGAUUAAGGUUCGAAUCCUUACAAACCGA